RNAcentral lists this transfer RNA (76 nucleotides) under Parabotia lijiangensis. Its description in RNAcentral is "tRNA-Lys". It matches the Rfam family "tRNA". Rfam says of the family: Transfer RNA (tRNA) molecules are approximately 80 nucleotides in length. Their secondary structure includes four short double-helical elements and three loops (D, anti-codon, and T loops). Further hydrogen bonds mediate the characteristic L-shaped molecular structure. tRNAs have two regions of fundamental functional importance: the anti-codon, which is responsible for specific mRNA codon recognition, and the 3' end, to which the tRNAs corresponding amino acid is attached (by aminoacyl-tRNA synthetases). tRNAs cope with the degeneracy of the genetic code in two manners: having more than one tRNA (with a specific anti-codon) for a particular amino acid; and 'wobble' base-pairing, i.e. permitting non-standard base-pairing at the 3rd anti-codon position. Lineage: Eukaryota; Metazoa; Chordata; Actinopteri; Cypriniformes; Botiidae. The record is from RNAcentral.
CACUAGAAAGCUAAAACAGGAAUACAGCGUUGGCCUUUUAAGCCAAAGAUUGGUGCUUCCUAACCACCUCUAGUGA